AAAUUGAAGAGUUUGAUCAUGGCUCAGAUUGAACGCUGGCGGCAGGCCUAACACAUGCAAGUCGAACGGUAACAGGAAGCAGCUUGCUGCUUUGCUGACGAGUGGCGGACGGGUGAGUAAUGUCUGGGAAACUGCCUGAUGGAGGGGGAUAACUACUGGAAACGGUAGCUAAUACCGCAUAACGUCGCAAGACCAAAGAGGGGGACCUUAGGGCCUCUUGCCAUCGGAUGUGCCCAGAUGGGAUUAGCUAGUAGGUGGGGUAACGGCUCACCUAGGCGACGAUCCCUAGCUGGUCUGAGAGGAUGACCAGCCACACUGGAACUGAGACACGGUCCAGACUCCUACGGGAGGCAGCAGUGGGGAAUAUUGCACAAUGGGCGCAAGCCUGAUG
RNAcentral lists this ribosomal RNA (391 nucleotides) under Escherichia coli. Its description in RNAcentral is "bacterial SSU rRNA". It matches the Rfam family "Bacterial small subunit ribosomal RNA", at positions 1 to 388 of the family's 1533-position model. Lineage: Bacteria; Pseudomonadati; Pseudomonadota; Gammaproteobacteria; Enterobacterales; Enterobacteriaceae. The record is from RNAcentral.